This 4372-nucleotide long non-coding RNA is filed under the name Salmo salar (Atlantic salmon). RNAcentral's name for it is "lncRNA (ENSSSAG00000098868.1, ENSSSAG00000117030.1)". The record is from RNAcentral. Lineage: Eukaryota; Metazoa; Chordata; Actinopteri; Salmoniformes; Salmonidae.
GCCAAAUUUGUUUAUGUAUUUGUCUUAAUUAAUCUAAAUUGUGUUUUCCACAUACUUUUGCGUUAGCAGUCCAUCAGGCCAAUAGAUGGCGCUGUUGCACUGUUGUAGCAGGAGAAACAGCAAGUUCUGGCCAAGCGCUCACCAUUCUGCAGAAUAAGGAUCAGAACUUUACUGAGGUAAACUGGGUCUGUUCUUUUUACUUUUGCAGCAGUUCAUCGUGGCCCUGUCGUUCGCCUACUUCACCAAAGCUCUGUCAGGGACCUACAUGAAGAGUGCCAUCACUCAGAGAGACACUUUGACCUGUCCGGCUCUCUCAUCGGACUCAUAGACGGCAGCUUUGAGAUGGGUAUCAACAAUAACAAUGAGUUGCUUGAGAAUUCAUGUAGUAAAAACUAGAUACACAAUACAGUAUGAUCCGUUUUUUUUGUGGUUCAGAGUCUGCUCUCAAUACUGUCCAGUUUUAUAGUUGUUCCUAUUAAUUGAUUGACUGGCGUUUGUCCAUGACUCUACUGUCAAACCCCUAACAUUGUUUUAUGUGCUGCUAUGUUGUUGCAGCCUAGUAUCCAAACUGAUAUGCCAUUUUUUGUUUAAAAAAAAAAAAAAUGCGCAUGGGUGCAGUUUCUUGUCCUCCUCGUUCCGCUGUGAAAGUACCGCACCAGCUCCGGUUUCCGAGGCGUCCACCUCUACCACAAAGGGACGAGUAGGAUCAGGAUGAACGAGGAAUGGGUUCGGAGGUGAAACGUCCCUUGAGCUCUAUGAAUGCCCUGUCAGCCUCGGGAUUCCAGCAAAAAACAGCUUGAGUGAGGUGGGACAGGGCCUUAUGUGUUCCGGAAGGGUUUUUGGAGAAGAUCAGGAUAUCGUCGAGGUAAACAAAGACGAACCGAUUCAACAUAUCCCUAAGAGUGUCAUUGAUCAAUGCUUGAAAGACUGCCGAUUUUAAGCGUUGCGGAGGUCCAGUUUGGUGAAGAAUUGGGCUCCUAGGGCCAACUCCAAGGCGGCGGACAUCGGGUUUGUUGAACAUGAGUGGAAAUGAAACUCCAGCACACUGGUAGCACUAAAGACGUUUGAGUAUAACUUCUCCAGGUGAGUUGAAGCUGCCUGUGCGUGCGGCGGGGAUAUUCCUGGGAGGUCUACUGACGAAGAGGUAUAAGCUUGGCGUUAUGUCUGGAGCCCAGCUGUCUUUCGUCACCUCCUUCAUGGCCUACCUCCUCCUCCCUCUGCAGUCUGGCACUAAGUGUGACAACGUUAAGGUGGCUUGUCUGACCGUGUCCCACAACGGGUCCCCUGGUGUACGAUGGCAGCCUGUUGUCAGAGUGUAACAGAGACUGCUCCUGCUUGGCUGGGGAGUGGGACCCUGUGUGUUCAGACAACGGCAUCACCUACACCUCCCCCUGCCUCGCAGGCUGCUCCAGCUUUACAGGUUACGGCAAGAACACGAUACCAAUUCUAUUAAUGUACUGAGUGUACAAAACAUUCACACGGAUGCUGGGCCAUGUUGACUCCAAUGCUUCCCACAGUUGUGUCAAGUUGGCUGUAUGUCUUUUGAGUGGUGGACCAUUCUUGAUACACACGGGAAACUGUUCAGCAUAAAAAAACACAGCAGCGUUGCAGUUCUUGACACAAACUGGUACCCCUGGCACCUAUUACCAUGCCCCGUUGAAAGGCACGUAAAUAUUUUGUCUUGACUCCCUGUUUAAAUAAAAUGUUUUUUUAAAUUUUUUUUUUACAUUUUAGUCAUUUAGCAGACGCUCUUAUCCAGAGCGACUUACAGUAGUGAAUGCAUACAUUUCAUACUUUUUUUUCCUGUGCUGGCCCCCUUGGGAAUCGAACCCACAACCCUGGCGUUGCAAACACCAUGCUCUACCAACUGUAAAAAACAUCAACAAACACAGGAUAUGGGGUACACAUGGUAUCACAUCAUUACAUACUAGGCCCUACUGCACCUGCAUUCCAGCAUCUGGAAUUGACUCAACAUGUUUGGGGUGGGGGAUCAAUACAUGUGGGGGAAGAGGUGGCUGUCGAAUGUAUGAUUCUUGGGGGGGGUCCAUGUUGGUGUCCAUACACUGAGGUGUGUUUUAAUAUGAAUGAGCAUCAGUGUUGUGAUGUGUCCUAUCCCGUCCUUGCAGAGUGAUCUUCCUUGGACUCAUCACAUGUCUCAGUGGCUCCUCCUUAGGAGGGAGGGGGACAGCCCCCACACUCAUCACUAGAGAUCGAACUUCAGACUCCCUCCAAAACCACUGAACCCCUCAACACACCGAAAGAGAUUAAGGUGCACACCCGUAGAGGGAGCCGGAACAGGAUAACUCCCUCCAAACUCACAAAGACACAGAGGAGGAGGAACUAUCCAACACCCAGGGAGAGAGAACGAGUGACCUCAGUCGAACACAGUCAGAAAGAGGAGGUGGAAGAGGCGUUAGAUAGAGGAGGUUACCCCAGAGGCCAUUCCUCCUGUUAAUGUGACCAAGAAAGAGCAGAAGGCUUCUGAUCAGCCAAAUGGCAGGCAGAGGGAGAGGUCAUAGUGAUUCACACCCACAGAGAGAAAGACAACCCACACAACCUCUUAGUUGAGAUGAACCACACAGAGGUAGAGGCAGAGGGCCUUCAGGGCUAGCCAGUCAGCCUGCCUGCUCUGAUCCUCAAGUCAAUUGUAUUUAAAUUCAUGUUCAUUAAAGUUUUUUUAUUCAAGAAUUGAAAAGUCCCAUUUACUUAAUGAUCAUUUUUCACCAGCUUCAACCCUCAAGAAUCAGGGUAAAGGGACUUUCAAGGGACUUUAAGGAUUCAAGAACCUCUUCGGGACAAGCUGCCAACGAACUCUCACGGCGUGACGUGGAUGCAUCGGAGAAAAAGACGUGCAAGGCAAUAAACGCCCGUUUCAAGGAACCAACCUGUGUCUGUUGUGAAGAGAGCUACAGUGAGAACUGGCCUGCUCAACACGGGUAGGAGAGACAACAAGACCGCCGCGGGUAACGACGCAACGAAGAUCCAGCAGAUCAGAUAAGCAAAGCCCAUGACAUUGUCGGCUUAGGAGAGCCAGAGGAGAGCCAACAAUAUAACUAGCUAACUAGUCAUAGCCAGCUACCUUAAGAGCUGGAAAAGGAUUAUCCACUUAAAGGCUGACAUCAAUAAAUCAACAAUCAAAUAAUGUUCUUACCCGUGACAUCUGCUAGCAUGACAGAGUUUCCCAACUCUGAGUUAUUUAAAUUCUCUUUGCUAGUAUCAUCAUUGUGUCUGUGAGCUGGUUACACCCAAAAGGAAGAAGAAAAUCAUGUAAAGUAACUUGGCACGGACUUACGUGCAGAAUAAUACGUUUUGUGACAGGCUGGUUUUAGUGACAUGCGACUAGGCUAUGGGACUGUAGCUGGAUGUAUCUCAAGAAUCGGGACAUAGCAGCAAUGUAGGGUUCUGGCUAUCAUGGUUGGAGAAAAUAGCUGUUGUACAUAACUCUGAAGAUGUGAAAAAAAAAGAGGAGAAAAAAGGACAUAUGGCGCCGGAGGGGAUAGCUGCCAUUACACGGCUCCUAACCAAAUGUGCUAUUUUUUUCCCGCAUUAUUUGUAACUCAUUUUGUGCAUAAUGUUGCUGCUACCGUCUCGUAACCGAAAAGAGCUUCCGGACAUCAUAACAGAUUACUCACCUCAAACUGGACAAAGGUUUUUUUCUUUAAUGAAUCCGACGUGAAGGAUAUACUGCUUUGUCGAGACAAGGCCCAAAUCCCUGUCAUCCGAGUGAAGAAAAGACAGAGAAAAAUGGGGAGGAGGGUGAGGUGCCUUGUAGGAAUUCGCAGAUGAGUAGGUAAACCACCAAUACCCUCUGUGUUAUUGGCCAACAUGCAAUCAUUGGAAAACAAACUGGACGAUCUACGAUUAAGAAUAUACUACCAGGCCUCCCGGGUGGUGCAGUGGUCUAAGGCACUGCAUCGCAGUGCUAGCUGUGCCACUAGAGAUUCUGGGUUUGAGUCCAGGCUCUGUCGCAGCCGGCUGCGACUGGGAGGCCCAUGAGGCGGCGCACAAUUGGCCCAGCAUCGUCCGGGUUAGGGAGGGUUUGGCUGGCAGGGACAUCCUUGUCUCAUCGCGCACUAGUGUCUCCUGUGGCGGGCCGGGCGCAGUGCACACUGACACGGUCGCCAGGUGUACGGUGUUUCCUCCGACACAUUGGUGCGGCUGACUUCUGGGUUGGAUGGACAUUGUGUCAAGAACCAGUGCAGCUUGGUUGUGUUGUGUUUCGGAGGACGCAUGGCUCUCGACCUUCGCCUCUCCCGAGUCCGUAUGGGAGUUGCAGCGAUGAGACGACUGUAACUACUACCAAUUGGAUACCACGAAAUUGGGGAGAAAAAAGGGGUGAAAAAUACAACAAAAAUGUUUUAUAAAAAAAGAA